This 1889-nucleotide long non-coding RNA is filed under the name Canis lupus familiaris (dog). RNAcentral's name for it is "lncRNA (ENSCAFG00845008544.1)". The record is from RNAcentral. Lineage: Eukaryota; Metazoa; Chordata; Mammalia; Carnivora; Canidae.
UUCCCUUUUAUCUUUUUCUAGAGAAUGUGAUAUUACAAAAGGAGAACAAUGGUCACAUCUUUAGGUGGAGUAUAUGGCAUUCAUCUAAGGAUAUCAGGAUUUUCUUUUGAUUUAAAUAAGAAAAAAAUGUUCAUUUAAACUACUCUCUUCUGAUGUCUUCCUGUCUGACAGUGGAAAUGCAUAUUGAAUUCUAUAGUCAUAAUAGGAAGGAUAAUGCAUAUCCUGCAAUAGAAAAGAGGAAAGAAGAAAAAUAUACAACUUGUCCCAAUGAGCAAGUGAAUCAUAGAAAUUAGAAUGGAAAGGACCUAUUAUGCAAUGAAGACUACAGUUCAGGGAAAACACAGUUCUAUUUAUGUUUAUUUCAGAUUACACUGCUCAGCAUUUAUACUGUUCUUCCCACAAUAGCUCUGUCUUCCCCUUUCUAACAUCACACACAUCCCAUAAUUGUCUGUAGUAGCUUUUUCCUCAGCCCGAAUGAGAUUGCUUUGAAGGCUAAAUUCACACACUAGAGUAAUUAACUACAUAAUUGGUCUAGAGUGAAUCUUAUAUUGUCUUCUAUGAUACCUUCCUAUCCCCAUCAUAUUACUUAAUAGAAGCUGCCACGAUUUCUAAUGCCCAAAUCAGGAGAUUUAAGAGGCUGAUUUAUCCAGCCAUAGGGGAAAAAAUGAAAGGAAUAGUGACAUUGUUUUCACAUCGGGACCUGAAAAUAGUUUAGGACUGCAGAUUAGGUUUUAAAAUGAAUAUCUUUUUGCUUAGAUAAAGUGGAAGUUUCUUGGGAUUGUAAUCAUCAGCCUGGGUCACUAUGAUUUGAUUUAUACCACUGAUUCUGACAAUAUAGUCCCUGGACCAGCAGCAUUAGUAUCACCUGGCACUUGUUUCUUUCCCUUUCUGGGUCCCCACCCAGGGAGACUGAAUCAGAAACUCUGUAAAUCGGCCCCAAUGAUCUGUGUCUUAACAAGAUAUCCAGGGGAAUGUAAUGCACAUCAGAAUUUGGAACCACUGAUUUAUAAUAUUAAAAGAAUUUUUGAAAAAAUGGUAAAAUCAUGACACCCAUACAAUUUUAAAUAAUCUUGUGUUGAUUUAUUUAACUCAUUAAUGAGAAGAAUGGUUAAGAUGUUAUAACCAGUCCAAAAGCAAAUUCAAAUAACUAUACAUAUCUAGGCAAUAACAAAUUCUAAAAUGAGCUUACAAAAGAUGUAAGUCUCCACUAUUUACAGGGCAAUAAUCAAUUGCAACCAAUUGCAUUCCAUCAAACACAAUCCAUGUGCUUUUUUAUGGAUCAUCUGUUAUUAUUAGUUUUUUACCACCAGUUUUCACCUCUGGGUUAUAAAGUAGAUAGUCACUUUGGGAAUGGUACCCAAAGCAAGACAGACACUUAGUCAUUUUUUUCUCAUUUCAAAGUUAUAUAUAUAUAUAUAUAUAUAUAUAUAUAUAUAUAUAUAUAUAUUAUAUUAUAUUAAUAUAUAUAUUUAAAAGUUAUAUUAUAUAUAUAUAUAAUUUCCUGACAGUUUAGUUCACUUAAGCUUAUCAAAAGCUAAGUAUAACUAAACACCUUUUAUCUUGGAAUUUCUGAAUCAUCCCAACUCAAAAUUCCCACUUUUUGACCUUGGUUAAUCAGUUAAUCUUGAAGAAACAUGGAAAUUAGAGAUAAAAUAUAUUUUUUUCUUGUAGUCAUCAUCUGAACAUUUUAUUGUCCUAAGAAUGAACAUGAGGAACACUUGUGAAAAUAGAAUCGCAUGCAGUAUUCUGAAAUUUUAAUAUAACAACGUAGUAUCAUUUGCAGAUUAUCUCCAAGGCAGAGAAAGUUUGCUAACUGGGCAGUAGAAAUCAUAUCACAUAAAGGCAGUAAGUUGUAGCAAAUAAACCAAGAGUCCCAAUACAUUAUUGUA